CAGCAGUGGGGAAUAUUGCACAAUGGGGGAAACCCUGAUGCAGCCAUGCCGCGUGUGUGAAGAAGGCCUUCGGGUUGUAAAGCACUUUCAGUAGGGAGGAAGGUAGUGUAGUUAACACCUGCAUUAUUUGACGUUACCUACAGAAGAAAGCACCGGCUAACUCCGUGCCAGCAGCCGCGGUAAUACGGAGGGUGCGAGCGUUAAUCGGAAUUACUGGGCGUAAAGCGCAUACAGGCGGCCUGUUAAGUCAGAUGUGAAAGCCCGGGGCUUAACCUCGGAAUUGCAUUUGAAACUGGCAGGCUAGAGUCUUGUAGAGGGGGGUAGGAAUUUCAGGUGUAGCGGUGAAAUGCGUAGAGAUCUGAAGGAAUACCAGUGGCGAAGGCGGCCCCCUGGACAAAGACUGACGCUCAGAUGCGAAAGCGUGGGGAGCAAACAGGAUUAGAUACCCUGGUAG
RNAcentral lists this ribosomal RNA (454 nucleotides) under uncultured bacterium. RNAcentral's name for it is "bacterial SSU rRNA". It matches the Rfam family "Bacterial small subunit ribosomal RNA", at positions 349 to 793 of the family's 1533-position model. The record is from RNAcentral.